RNAcentral lists this RNase P RNA (372 nucleotides) under Deltaproteobacteria bacterium. RNAcentral's name for it is "RNase P RNA component class A". It matches the Rfam family "Bacterial RNase P class A". Rfam says of the family: Ribonuclease P (RNase P) is a ubiquitous endoribonuclease, found in archaea, bacteria and eukarya as well as chloroplasts and mitochondria. Its best characterised activity is the generation of mature 5'-ends of tRNAs by cleaving the 5'-leader elements of precursor-tRNAs. Cellular RNase Ps are ribonucleoproteins. Lineage: Bacteria; Pseudomonadati; Myxococcota; Myxococcia. The record is from RNAcentral.
UGAGUCGGCCGGGUGACCGCGGUGGCACUUCGGUGUUGCUGAGGAAGGUCGGGGCUCCACAGAGCAGGGUGCUGGCUAACGGCCAGUCGGGGCGACUCGAAGGAAAGUGCCACAGAGAACAGACCGCCGAUGGCCCGCUCUUCGGAGCGGGCACAGGCAAGGGUGAAACGGUGCGGUAAGAGCGCACCAGCACCCCGGGUGACCGGGGUGGCUCGGUAAACCCCACCCGGAGCAAGGUCAAGCAGAGAGAGGGCGGCUCGUCCGUGGACACUCUCGGGUUGACUGCACAGAUGGAUGGUCACCCAUGGCCGGCUCGAUUCCUCGGAGCAGGGCCGGCCGGGACAGAACCCCGCCUACAGGCCGACUCACCAC